Molecule: long non-coding RNA, 603 nt
Organism: Chelonia mydas (Green sea turtle)
Lineage: Eukaryota; Metazoa; Chordata; Testudines; Cheloniidae
Exons: 3
Source: RefSeq, a predicted model, not a curated record
UGCACCAACAAAUCAGGAGGUUAGUUGUCUAAGUGCUACCAGCCAUGCCCGCAGUUCAUUGCAGCUGCUUUUUAUUUGGAAAAUCAUGCCCCUAAGUCUGAAGGCCUGUCUGAAAAUCACCCCAUUGUCUGCUUCUGCAGGUAAGCAAAGAAAGAGGGAGAAAGGGAUGCACACGCAGACAUCAACACAGAUUUCCAGCCUGAAUUUGUAUCACUUUUGGUUCUUCAAAGGUAAACAAAUAGAUUGGUGUUUUUCCCCUCCUGCAGCUGCUGAGCUGGUGUGCGGUGUCUUUUGUAGAGAGAGCCCUUUAAAAGCUCUGGGAAGCAGUUCCAGCAUUUUCUGUAGGUGCAGACAGAUAAUUGAAUGCUUUCAAAGAACACUGUGAGGCAGGAAAACUUCAAUUUUGCAGCAUCGCGUUCUCUGCAUGGACUGAGCUUUGUGCCUUGGUUUGUGAUGGUUAUUCCCUGCUCUUCUCACAGCUAUUCUUCUGGGUGUACUUAUAGAGCACAGAAGCAGACCAUAGAGGCUCUUGGGACACAUUGCAUCAGGCCUGCAGUUAAAAAGCUGAAAGAAAAAAUCUGAGUGACACAGGAACAUGAUAGC